Molecule: transfer RNA, 76 nt
Filed under: Sinobacterium norvegicum
Lineage: Bacteria; Pseudomonadati; Pseudomonadota; Gammaproteobacteria; Cellvibrionales; Spongiibacteraceae
Description: tRNA-His
Rfam family: tRNA
About the family: Transfer RNA (tRNA) molecules are approximately 80 nucleotides in length. Their secondary structure includes four short double-helical elements and three loops (D, anti-codon, and T loops).
Source: RNAcentral
GUGGAUGUAGCUCAGUCGGUAGAGCCCCGGAUUGUGAUUCCGGUGGUCGCGGGUUCGAUCCCCGUCAUCCACCCCA